GAAUGUGCCCGCAUAAUGGUCAGCAAAAUGCCAGGUACACACACAUAUAUGAUGAAAACAGAUAAUUUGGACCAAUUGGCUUGGCAGCAAACACACUAAGCUUACAAACAAUUCACAAAACCUUCUUCUGCUCCUUAGUCAGAGAACCAUUCGGGAAGAAGGCACGUCAAUCCCUAUUCACAUUUUCAAUCCCCCAAUAAGACAAUUGUGACAUAAAAUAGCUCAACAAAUAAUAACUCCCAGUUUAAUCAACACAAACCCCUUCAUUGACAAAAAACAAACAACAACAAAAAAAUUGAUUUGCUCCGGUUAAAUUACCAUAUCCAAACGCAAACUUAGGGAUUUUAUGAACAACCGAAUAUCUUUCCGUAUACUCAAAACAUAUAUAAUGGAAGAGGUUGUGCAGGCCCAAUUUGAAAUCAAUCUGCCAAAUUUUCAUUCAAAUUUCAAAUUUUAGAAUUACACUACCUCAUGCUAUUUUUCAUCGCACUGUCAGGUGUCAGCCUCCAUGACUGUCUUUGUUCAACUUUGAAAUUUCCUCUCUCAACAUUCUUCACUUGGACUAGUAAGAACUAAGAAAGCAUUACCUAUUGCUUCUUUAUUAUGCCUGAAAAUUUACCUCUUAUAAGUCACAGCAAGCAUCGCAUACGUACUCA
Molecule: long non-coding RNA, 656 nt
Filed under: Glycine max (soybean)
Lineage: Eukaryota; Viridiplantae; Streptophyta; Magnoliopsida; Fabales; Fabaceae
Description: long non-coding RNA (GMAX_LNC000609)
Source: RNAcentral